GUCGGGUACUCACUGGUAAAGCAGAGGACUGAAAAUC
This 37-nucleotide transfer RNA is filed under the name Oroxylum indicum (Indian trumpet tree). RNAcentral's name for it is "partial tRNA-Phe". The record is from RNAcentral. Lineage: Eukaryota; Viridiplantae; Streptophyta; Magnoliopsida; Lamiales; Bignoniaceae.